Pseudopipra pipra is the source of this 638-nucleotide long non-coding RNA. RefSeq lists it as uncharacterized. The record is from RefSeq and is a predicted model, not a curated record. The transcript is spliced from 2 exons. NCBI's taxonomy places the organism in Eukaryota, Metazoa, Chordata, Aves, Passeriformes, Pipridae.
UGGGGCUCACGGCUCUCAGGAUGAGACACUCAAGGGUCAAAGGGCUGCCAAGCACCUGCGGGACGCUCAUGUUGAUUCCCCUCUCCCUUCCCACGUUCUCCCAGCCAUGUCAACUCCACUCUACCCCUGAGCAUGUUCCCCACACCUGGUUCAGGGCGGCAGCUCUACCCAGGGCAGAGACACCCUCAACAAUCCCAUUAACUUUGUCACGGUUGCCCCAGACUGCUGGAUUUGGUUUUCUGUGCUUUCAUGCAAUGCUCCCACCACAGUGUCCACGUGUCCCUGGAGCCAGACUCUCUAGGGAAAGGGAAACAUGGUACCACCACAGCCCAGGGCCUGGCUCAGCAGGGUGAGGUGGCACAGCAGGAUUCCAAAGGAGGAACACACAGCAAAACCAGCACCAGAAACUCAGAUAAAAAGAGAAGUGUGUGAAAAGCAAGGUUUUGACAGAUAGAGCACUCAAAAGAAGAGACCUGGCCUAUGUUAAAAAGGCUGUUAUUCAAAGGGGAGAGUCACUGCAAGAAAGCAGCAGAUGGGAGAAGGAGAAAAGAAAGGCGAAAAGAACAUAUGCCUUUUGGAUUUACUGAUCUGUGUUUUUCUAUACAAUCCAUAAAAUAUGCUCACUGGUAGACCCUUUA